GUUCCCGUAGCUCAGCUGGAUAGAGCGCCGCCCUCCUAAGGCGGGAGUCGGACGUUCAAAUCGUCUCGGGAACGCCA
This 77-nucleotide transfer RNA is filed under the name Clostridiales bacterium. Its description in RNAcentral is "tRNA-Arg". It matches the Rfam family "tRNA". From Rfam's summary of the family: Transfer RNA (tRNA) molecules are approximately 80 nucleotides in length. Their secondary structure includes four short double-helical elements and three loops (D, anti-codon, and T loops). The record is from RNAcentral. Lineage: Bacteria; Bacillati; Bacillota; Clostridia; Eubacteriales.